GGCCAGCUCAUCUACUGUUCAUCUUCCUCCAUCUUCAUUCCAAAUUAAAGCCUCUCUCCGAGCUUCCCAUCAGCCAUAAAUCCCUAAAUCCAACCUUCAAUCGGCCCAAAAAACCCUAGAAUCUACCAUAAAAACUUGGUAGACACUUUCUCUUGGCCGAUCCAUAAUCAAAACCCAUUCUUUCUUGAUCCUAACAGAACCCUUGAAACUCUCCUUUCAAAAAUCUUAAAUGUAGACCAUCCAUUUCUAAAUCUCUCAUUUUUCUUCAUUCCCAUUAUCUUUUCACCCUCUAUUCC
Molecule: long non-coding RNA, 296 nt
Filed under: Elaeis guineensis (African oil palm)
Lineage: Eukaryota; Viridiplantae; Streptophyta; Magnoliopsida; Arecales; Arecaceae
Description: long non-coding RNA (EGUI_LNC034502)
Source: RNAcentral